AAACAACACAUUAAGUGGUGGAGGGAUAGUAAAUGUACCUUUCUUACAUAGCCCUGAAGCAGACAAAAGAUCUGAAGGCAAAUUGUAACACAGGCCACUAGAACCCUUCUCCAGUAUUAAGUAAUUUGUGUACAGGAUGUGGAUUGUAACCAGGACCUCAACUCUUAAAUGAGAAAGAAAAAAGGAAGAAGGGAAGAGGAGAAGAUAGAGAAGUGGAAAGAAAACCAUGAAAAGAAGGAAAAUGCAAAAACCAACUUCCAAAAAACUUUUGAUGUUUCUCAACUGUCUACAGAAUAA
This is a long non-coding RNA of Callithrix jacchus (white-tufted-ear marmoset), 297 nucleotides long. The record is from Ensembl. Lineage: Eukaryota; Metazoa; Chordata; Mammalia; Primates; Cebidae.